This is a long non-coding RNA of Cyprinus carpio carpio, 1067 nucleotides long. Lineage: Eukaryota; Metazoa; Chordata; Actinopteri; Cypriniformes; Cyprinidae. The record is from Ensembl.
GGAGAACCAAUAUUAACUGUCCUUCUUAGUGGUGUCUGUUCAAGUUCACCAAAGAUACGUCCCCUGGCAAAACCCAAUUCAAACCCAUCACUAGAGGAGUAACUUGUCUUCUCACUAUUUUGUGACAUCUUGAAUAUUACAAAUCAACAAAAGUAAAUUAGAACAGAUGAUGACCACAGAAAAAAAACUGUGUAGAUAGCUCAGAAAUAAUACACAAUCAAAUAAUCAAACAAAAUUUGUAUCACAAAUUCAAACUUCACUACUACUUUUUUCCUCUCUUCCGAGAAUAUGAACUAUCAAUCUUUUUCUGAAUUAUGUACAGUCUAAUGUCCAACCUUUUUUCUUUGACACAGGUACAGUCAUAAUUUGGGCGCUCCAGAAUGCAGCAAACCCCGGCGACCAAGCUGACGUUGAUCAAAGAGGAUCCACGAUGACUUGCAUCAAGGAAAAGUCACGGCACCAUUGUGACCGGUCUUUAUCUUCUCUCUGCGUUGUGUUGAUAUUUUAACCAGACCGGACAACAAGAGAUUCUUUGGACCACUUUUUUUAUUCUGAAUGAAUAAAAAGGAAAAUUUAUGAAAAAAGUUGUCAAUCCGUGGCCUUUCUCCACAAUUUCAACAUUGACCUGCCAGUCAAAACAGAUAAUUUUAGCCACGGAACUUACACGGUUAAUAAACACCAAAAGAAAAUACAUACUUCAUGUUACCCAACCUCUAUUAGUGUUACAAUAAGAUUAAAUUGUAUUUUUAACAAAAAAAAUACAUAUUAGUCACAAGAAACAAACUAAUUUAAAACUUUUUAGUGAGAGCUCCAGCAGAACUCACCUUUCCCCAGCUGCGCUUACCGCGAACUGAAGGAAAACAACCGGAACCUAACUCUUAAAGGGGCCACGUACUAUAUUUUAACAAUUACAAAAUAACACUGAAAAAUUUACAUACAAGGAUAGAAACAGCUCAAAUAACAUUCCAGAUGAAAGAAAAAUUCCCAGAAUAUAAAAAUAAUUAUAUAAAUAUAAAAUAAUUGAUAAUAACAAAGGGAGGGAUUUUGUGUGAAAUUAAUAAAUUUAU